CAGGAAAGACUAGACUUAAAGGGCUAAGAGGCUUUUGGAUAACGAGAUUGGAUUUUGGAAGCAUAAUAUGAAUCCUAGUUUACCAACAUCGAUUGCCCUAGAUUUGUACUUGAUACAACCAUACAAACUAAUGUGCAAAUUCCAUGUCGAGAAGAAGAAUAUGUAGUUCUAUAACUUUACUUGUACUUUUGCAUUGCACAUUUACAUUUAUAGAUACUCAGAAUUUGCAAAACACAUUUUACCUACAUAAAACAUUAGCUAUCUGAUUGGAACAAGUCAACUAACUGAUCACCUUUACUUGCAUAUUUCCUAAGAUAAUUGAAGCUUCUGCAGAACUUUUGAAGUAGAACUUUGUUCAACUCAGUGCCGUAAUAAUACUCACUAUACACUUGAUGAUAACUAUCCGUUUCAUAAUGACACAAGGCACCUUAUUAGCAAUCUACUCUGACCAACAAAUACUCAUUACUUGUUAAUCACCUUUUACAGGUGCUAUGAGAAGAAACAAAAAUAUAUUAUAUGCUAUCGUUGUUAUUAGGGGUGAGCAAAUUUAAAAAAAAAACCAAAUACUAGACCGAACCAAACAUAUUUCGGUUAAAACGGUUCAGCUAUUUCGGUUUAUUUGGGUUAUUCGGUUUUUUUAGAAUUAAUUUUGAAAAUUCGGUUUUCGGGCGGUUUGGAUUUUUCCAAACCAAACCGACCAAAUAAACCAAUAUAUAUAUGUUUUACAACUUUAGUUUUACGGAACAUUCAAGAAUUAAGAAUCAAAAUACUAAUUCUUCAAAGCCAUCCAUAAAAUUUUCCCAACCCUAAACUGCUAAACAAUUUUUUCCGCCGCCAACGCAUCUUCACUACACUCUCCAUCACCACAAGUCUCCCCACAGCAUCAUUCUUCAUCCUCGCCAGCUGGCCUUCUUCCUCGGCUCACAUCGCAGUGCAAAAAAACUAAAGGAACCAAGUCUAUCUCAGUAUCUCUUAUUCCUCGCAUCAUAUCGUAUCGACGACACCCCACACUAUCUCUUCUUCUCUUUCAUCAUAGAUUCUUCGACAGCUAGUUGCAGUGAAGUUCUUAGAUUACCAGACUUGAAUGUUUAACCGUUAUGUGUCUGUGUUAUGUGGUCCUUUUUUUUUCUUUUUUUUCAGAUGUCUCGAGAAAUUGAAAAACCUGGAGAUGGUAGUUUUCACCCUACACCUCCAGUUGAAAAUCCCAUUCAGACAGGUUUUUUUUCGAGCCAAAACCGACCUGAAAAACCAAAUACUCACCCCUAGCUAUCAAAUUUUAUUGGUGAAGUAGACAUGGAGAACCUAAAGGGAAUCUAAUAUGUGAUUUCACAUAAGUCCUUCAAAGAAGUUCUAGACAUGAAUCAAUCCUAUUGGCUGGGUAGUGGGUACUUCAGUUUCUGUUUUGAUAGCCUUAUUUCUUUUUACUCCUAAUGAACUUUCACAAAAAUGUCUCAUACACACCUGCAAAAUUAACAAGUAGAAAAAGGUCCUAUCUGCCACCGCUAAUUAUGAAACAUUAGAGUGCAUUCAAUUUUCAUGUAAGGUUUUCCGAGAAGGUGUUAAGCUAGCUGUCUGCAAGGGGCAUAUAUCUUAAGGAACUUGCUAUUCAUCAAGAACUCUUUCGGACAACACCUAUUUGUCUGAGAAGAAAUGUAGUCAAUAAGAAAUGCUCUACUCUGCUUUCUAACUAUCUGCUUUCGCACAAACUAUGGUGGACAAGCAUCAAAUAACAAAUCAAUUGUUGAAAGACGUUAAAUUACUGAACCACUGAUUCUAAGACAUAGCAUCAAAAGGUAUGGUUAAGUAAAGAACCUCUUCAUUAGCUUUGAAGCAUCUUCCAAGACACUCCGUUUUGGGCAAGUUGGAUAAUUGCAUCUUUCAACCUGAUAUAAUCAUCAAGAGUAUUGUAUACUUGAUGAGAAAUUCUAACAUAUCCAGUUAUGCAACCAUCUGCAUCCAUGGCUCCAGUCUCCCCAUCUCUUGGCACCUCACAAUGAAUGGGUACUUCUACCAGAAAAUGGUCUCUCAAGUGUGAUCGCAACUUCAGUGCAUCAUCAUCAGACAAAACUCUCAAUUUAGAAGGCAAGCCAAUCAUAGCCAUACUAGGACACAUUUCUGGAGGCGAACCAAGAUUUGUGCCCCAUGCCUUGGCCAACAUUUGGGCCAUUUCCACCGCCUUGUCAUGGUUUCUAUUCCGAAUUCCCUCAAGGCCACCUUCAAACCGUCUAGUGAAUUCCAAAACUUCAGGAAUAACCAGCUGAGAGCUGUAAUCUCGUGUUCCAAUCCACGCACUCUCUAUGGCCAGACCGUUCCCAUAUUCAUGUGAAACCACAGGAUGGUGCAAAUCAGGUGAUACUGGCGAUUUCCGACAAUACAAGAAUGCAACAGAGGGAGGGCAGAAAAACCACUUGUGCAAAUUGCUGACAUAAAAAUCAGCACCAAUCUCCUUGACGUCAACAUGAAUGUUGCCUAUGGCAUGGGCAGCGUCUACAAAGACGCGCUCCACGCCCUCCUCUCGACAAAUCCUAACGAGCUCACGCGCAGGGAUCACAACACAGGGCAUUGAUGUUAUAUGAUCAAUUAUGGCAAGUCGUACUUUCUUACCAUUUGCCUUACCUCUGGCCAAGCCUUUGCGAAACUCUGCUAUGAUCUCUUCAUUGGAAUUCACGGGAAAAGGCAAGUGAACCACAAUGACAGAGCCACCAGCCCUCGUAACAUAGGCCUCGAUGGACUUCUUGACAGCCUGGAAAGCACAGUGGAGCAUGACAACAGCGUCACCCUUCUGAAAACGGCCUUCCGCGAAUGCCCAGCCCACAUGCUGAAGAACAAUUGCAGCAGCUGUGGUGGCGUUGUCGACGAUGGAUACCUCAUCAACAUGGUCGGCGUUGAUAAGAUCCUUGAUGACGGCGCGGGAUUGGAUUAUCUGAGGCUGGAGGUGAUUGAAGAAGAAGUCGUCGGGUUGGCGGAGGAACCGGAGCUGCCAUCUUCUCUGGGCAGCGAUGAUGGAGGCGGGGCAGCUGCCGAAGCUGCCGUUGUUGAGUCGGGCGAUUCCGGACUGGUGGUGGCCGAAUUCUUCGCGGAGUUCCGAUUCCGUAAUAAAAGAGAGUUUGGGCUUCUUCAAGGCGUGGGGGGUGUCGCCGUUAGCGGCGGCGCGAGGGUCUUCGAUUCCGGCCAUCGGCGCCCAAGGAGGGAUGAUUAGAUUAGGGUUUUGGGAGCGGCAAGUUAACCGCUGCUGCGUUUCACUAAUUUGGGGAAAACUCUGCUUUCCAUUCACCGUUUCCCUUAUCCAUGCCCCGCCCCGCCUUGCCUUAUUUACUCCUCACUACUCACUACCAGCUGCUUACUUUUAAUUAAAUUUUAACUUUUUAGGGGUUAAUUACUUAAUUAUUCAUAUUAUUCAUUCCAUGUUUGACCAUAAAUUCACAUGCAUAGCAUAGAGAAACUCAUGAUUAGGGCUGUCGAUCGGUUCGAGUUCGGUUAUCAUAUCCGAAUUUUCGGUUACGGUGUUCGGUUACCUAAUAACCGCUUCAAUUACUCGAUUCGGUUAUUUGGGUAUUCGAAAUAUCCAUUUAAAAAAUUAAAAUUCAAAUAAUUUGCUAGAUAGAAGAUUUAAACCUUAGUCUUUAGAAAAUACACAAAGCAACUUAUCCACUAAACUGAAGCUCAUUCUUAUAUUUUAAAUAUAUCAUAAUUUUAUUUUAGCUAAGACUUGAUUAAAAAAAAACUAAUUAAUGAAUUAAUAAUUAAAAUAUAUAUAAUAAAUAAUUUAUUAAAUAAUUUUCGGUUAUUUCGGUUAACCCGUUUCGGUUAUUGGGUUAACCGAUACCCGAAAUUUUUCUAAAAAUGAUAUCUGAAACCGAACCGAUAACCAAAAAAUUCGGUUAUUGGAUACCCAAACCCGAAAAUUUCGGUUCGGUUAACAGAUUAUCCAAAAUCCGAUAACCAAUUAGACAGCCCUACUCGUGAUUAAGAAUAGGGCUUUCUAAAUGGUUUUCGGGUUUUGGAUAACCCGUUAACCGAACUGAAAUUCUCGAAUUUGGGUAUCGGUUUGGUUCGAUUUUGGGUAUCAUUUUUAAAAAAUUUCGGGUAUCGGUUAACCCGAUAACCGAAACGGGUUAACCGAAAUAACCGAAAAUUAUUUAAUAUAUAUUUUAUAUAUAUUUUAAUUAUUAAUUCAUUAAAUAUAGAGUGUCAUGUGACUUUGAUUCUAAAAUAAAAUUAUGAUAUAUAUAAAAUAUAAGAAUGAUCUUUAACUUAGUGGAUAAGUUGCUCUGUGUAUUUUCAGGAGACCGGGGUUCAAAUCUUCAAUCUAUCAAAUUAUUUGAAUUUAAUUUUUUAAAUGGGUAUUUUGGAUACCCAAAUAACCGAAUCGGGUAACCGAAGCGGUUAUUGGGUAAUCGAACUCCUAAAACGGUUCGAGAACGGUUAGUGAAAUAUGGCAAUUUUGGGUUCGGGUAACUGAAAUUUUGGGUACGAGUAACCGAACCCGAACCAAUCGACAACCCUAAUUAAGAAUGUUGGCCUUUUAAUCUUAGGAUUAAUGGUAGUUUACGGCCAAACUUUGAAGCUAUUUGUAAAAUAGCCCUAACUAUAAAAAAAUAGUUUAGAUUUUGAAAUCAUUUGUAAAACUCGCCACAACCUUAAAAAAUACAAAAUAAUAAUCUAAAUUUUGGAAUCAUUUAUAAAAUUGGCUCGGACUUUAAAUUUUUUGUAAAAGUGACCCAAAUUUUGAAGUUAUUUGUCAAAAUAACCAAAGAGCAUCCGCAUCGCUUACACGAUGCGGCCUACUCGUGUAAGGCCGCUAUCGUGUAAGCCGAUGCAGCCGCUUGUUACUCGAGGGCUACACGUUCUAACGUGUAGCCCUUUUGCCCAUUGAUGAAGGGCGCGUGUUUCACACGCACCCUUAAAAAUAAUUAGAAAAUUCGAAUUUUGAAGGCAGCUUUGACUACCUCGGUUUGCGUGCCAUUUUUGUAUCGUUUCGAAUUUUUUUUUUCUUUCUUCUCUUUAUAUUAUCUUUUCCUCCUUCUUCUUCCUCACUUUCCUUUUAUUUUAUUUUAUUAAGUUUUAUGUAAUUUUUAGGAUUUGCUUUUAUUUUAUUAAGUUUUAUGUAAUUUUUAGGAUUUCAAAAUUAAUGCAAUUUAAAUUUGAGGUAAAUUGUGUGAUUUAAAUUUAUGCAAUUAAACUUAAAUGAAAAAUGGAUAAAUCAAAACUAAAAAAAUCAUGUAGGCUAUUAUGUAACCCCAAUGCAGCCUCUUUACACCAUGUGAUCCCCCCUCAUAAAGUAAGCUAUCAUGUAACACCAAUGUGAAUGCUUUAAACUAUAAAAUAUACAAGAGAUAGUUUAAAUUUUCAAGUUAUUUAUAAAAAUAGUCCAAAUUUUAAAAAAUUUAAAUGACCCGAACUUUAAUAAAUACAAAACAUGUUGAAAUAUUUUCUCUUGUAAUUUUUUAUUUUCUCGCAUAAAUAAUUUAUUUUAUUUCACAAUUAUUUUUUGUCAUAGUCGUGAUAAUCUAAAUGAAUAAUUUAUGAAAUAAUUUGUGUCUUCAACACAAAUUAUCCUUCUUUAUCUGUUCGUACUAAGAAUUUUAUGAGCUUAGAGUUAAAAAAAAAUUGUAUUGUCCAGAAUAUUUUGCGAGAGAAAAAUUAUUCGUGUCAGAUUAUGAUUUGUAAGAGAUCGGGAAUUAUUAUACUUUUUAAGAAUAUUCCAAGUGAAUUUAGAAGUUCCACAUAUUUUUACGUCAAUUUCAGGCUUUUCAUAUUGUCAUAAUUCGAGUAUGAGAGUGUAAGGUCAUGCCAUUUUUAUAACUUUUAUGAAAAGUGAGACCAUUUUUUU
Molecule: long non-coding RNA, 5833 nt
Filed under: Salvia miltiorrhiza (redroot sage)
Lineage: Eukaryota; Viridiplantae; Streptophyta; Magnoliopsida; Lamiales; Lamiaceae
Description: long non-coding RNA (SMIL_LNC010769)
Source: RNAcentral